CUUCCACCAGAAUGUCAUCCCCAUGAUGGCAGGGACCAUGUCACAUUUUUAACCUUUGCAUUUUCAGCCUGAGGUAUGUGCUGGCAUGUAGAGCGCACUUAAGAAAUAUUUGUUGAAUCCCUCGAAACAUUAUUUCCUUCUAUCUCCAGUCUGCAUUCAAAGUGCCUCACUUCAAGCCCUCUCUUGCCAUCAGCCUGAAUCUCUGGGUUCGCCUGCCCUUGUGCCCACCAUUCUGCAAGAGCUGGGCUCAGAAUAAUCCUCCUGAAUUUGCCCCUCCUAUUACUGGAAUUCUGAGCACCACUGAGAAAAUACAACAACUGUGAAGCAUUAUUCGCAAUUCCCAAGACAUGGAAGCAACCCAAGUGCCCUUCAACAGAUGAAUGGAUAAAGAAAACAUGGUAGAUAUACAUAUAUAUAAUGGAAUACUACUCAGCCAUAAAAAUGACAAAAUUGUGCCAUUUGCAACAAUACGGAUAGACCUUGAGGGUGUUAUGCUAAGCGAAACAAGUCACACAGAGAAAGACACAUACUGUGUGAUUUCGCUCAUAUGAGGAAGAUAAACAAACAAACACAUAGGUAAGGAGAACGUAUUAGUCGUUAACGGAGGAAAAGGGAGUAGAGGAGGGCAAAAGGGGUGAAGGGAGACGUGUAUGGUGACAGAUAAAAACUACACAGAAACUGAAAUAUAAUAAUGUACACCUGAAAUUUACACAACAUUAGAAGCCAAUGUGACCUCAAUAAAAGAAAAAAGAAAUGUCAGACAGAGAAAGACAAAUACUGUAUGAUCUCACUCACAUGUGGAAUCUAAAAAAACAAACAAAAACCAAACUCAUUGAAAAAAAGAUCAAACUUCUGGUCACCAGAGGCAGAGGGUUGGUGGGGGGGAGAAUUGGGUGAAGGCAGUGAAGAGGUACAAACUUCCAGCCAUAAGAGAAAUUAGUACUGGGGAUGUAAUGUACAACAUGAUGGCUGUAGUUAACACUGCUGUAUGUUGUAUUUGAAAGUUGCUGAGCGAGUAAAUCCUAAAAGUUAUCAUCACAAGGAAAAAAAUUUUUUUGUAUCUGUAUGAGGCAAUGGAUGUUAACUAAACUUAUUGUGAUAGUUAUUUCACACUAUAUGAAAGUCAAGUCAUUAUGCU
RNAcentral lists this long non-coding RNA (1138 nucleotides) under Equus caballus (horse). Its description in RNAcentral is "lncRNA (ENSECAG00000060182.1)". Lineage: Eukaryota; Metazoa; Chordata; Mammalia; Perissodactyla; Equidae. The record is from RNAcentral.